GGUGCUGCAUGGCUGUCGUCAGCUCGUGUCCGUGAGAUGUUGGGUUAAGUCCCGUAACGAGCGCAACCCUUGUCCUUAGUUACCAGCACGUUAUGGUGGGCACUCUAAGGAGACUGCCGGUGACAAACCGGAGGAAGGUGGGGAUGACGUCAAGUCAUCAUGGCCCUUACGGCCUGGGCUACACACGUGCUACAAUGGUCGGUACAAAGGGUUGCCAAGCCGCGAGGUGGAGCUAAUCCCAUAAAACCGAUCGUAGUCCGGAUCGCAGUCUGCAACUCGACUGCGUGAAGUCGGAAUCGCUAGUAAUCGUGAAUCAGAAUGUCACGGUGAAUACGUUCCCGGGCCUU
RNAcentral lists this ribosomal RNA (347 nucleotides) under uncultured Pseudomonas sp. RNAcentral describes it as "bacterial SSU rRNA". It matches the Rfam family "Bacterial small subunit ribosomal RNA", at positions 1037 to 1382 of the family's 1533-position model. Lineage: Bacteria; Pseudomonadati; Pseudomonadota; Gammaproteobacteria; Pseudomonadales; Pseudomonadaceae. The record is from RNAcentral.